Molecule: non-coding RNA, 73 nt
Organism: Parelaphostrongylus tenuis
Lineage: Eukaryota; Metazoa; Nematoda; Chromadorea; Rhabditida; Metastrongylidae
Source: the annotation of a GenBank genome assembly
GACUCGGUGGCGUAGUUGUAGAGCACGCGUCUUCCUUUAGGAUGAAACGCGGGUUCGAUUCCCGCUUGAGGCC